GGAGAUAUCUUUCUUCGUUAAAAAAACUAAGAACAGACGAAAAGGAACAAGGAAAUCAAAACCAAGAGAAAAAAAAACUGGUUCACGAUCUCCCAAAUAUCACGAUCGAGAAUCCGGUAAUAUAUAUUUUCCUUUACAACUCUAGCAGACAAGAAGAUUAUAUCGAGGAAGAGGAAGAAAUUAACACCUGCAAUAUCUGUAAACUCUUUUUCUUUAACUUGGAGAAACAAAAGAAACUAUCUAGAUAUUAGACCAGACCAGAACCUAGAAAGAAAAAACAACAACGAUCUGGAGGAGAACACGACUGUACGUGUAGAAGACAACAGUAUGCAUGUGUAUAGAGAGAAGGGGGACAAAAAAAGGAGAAGUUUUCUUUCUCCGUCCUCUUCCUAGCUAUAUUGAAUGUUUUAAAGGAGAUUGCUGUAAUCGCAGUUACAAAAGAUGCAAGAGACCACCACCAAUGGCCAAGCCCUAGCCGGAAGAAGAUGCCCCCGUCCUCGUCCUCCUCCGCUCUCC
RNAcentral lists this long non-coding RNA (516 nucleotides) under Phoenix dactylifera (date palm). RNAcentral describes it as "long non-coding RNA (PDAC_LNC003482)". The record is from RNAcentral. Lineage: Eukaryota; Viridiplantae; Streptophyta; Magnoliopsida; Arecales; Arecaceae.